Molecule: ribosomal RNA, 440 nt
Filed under: uncultured bacterium
Lineage: Bacteria
Description: partial 16S ribosomal RNA
Rfam family: Bacterial small subunit ribosomal RNA
Source: RNAcentral
CCUACGGGAGGCAGCAGUGGGGAAUAUUGCACAAUGGGGGAAACCCUGAUGCAGCAACGCCGCGUGAGUGAUGACGGCCUUCGGGUUGUAAAGCUCUGUCUUCAGGGACGAUAAUGACGGUACCUGAGGAGGAAGCCACGGCUAACUACGUGCCAGCAGCCGCGGUAAUACGUAGGUGGCGAGCGUUGUCCGGAUUUACUGGGCGGAAAGGGAGCGUAGGCGGACUUUUAAGUGAGAUGUGAAAUACUCGGGCUCAACUUGAGUGCUGCAUUUCAAACUGGAAGUCUAGAGUGCAGGAGAGGAGAAUGGAAUUCCUAGUGUAGCGGUGGAAUGCGUAGAGAUUAGGAAGAACACCAGUGGCGAAGGCGAUUCUCUGGACUGUAACUGACGCUGAGGCUCGAAAGCGUGGGGAGCGAACAGGAUUAGAUACCCUGGUAGUC